AAGUCUCAGCCCAUAUCAUGCUUUAUCUCUCGCGUGAAUCUCUCUCUCUCUCCGUUUCAUCUUCCGGCGAUCAAACAUGGUGGCAAAAAAAAAACGGUCACGCCUUCUACACAAAACCAAUCCAGUUCAAAGACAUACCAAACGCCACCGUCUCUUCCGUCUCCACCACCUUCGUCUUCGCCAUAUACUCCCAGAUCCCCACUCUAAGCGGCCAUGGAAUCGUCUUCGUCGUCUCUCCAUCCCAUAGCCUCACUUCCGCACUCCCAAUCAAGUCAAUACAUCGGUCUCUUCAACAACUCAAACAACGGUAACGAAACGAACCACGUCUUCACUGUCGAGUUCGACACGAUCCAAAGCAACGAGUUCGGAGAUCCGAACGAUAACCACGACGGAAUCGAUAUAAACGGUUUAAGAUCGUUUGAGUACUCAGCCGCUGAGUACUGGAACGAGAGAGAGAGAGAUGCAAGGUUUUGGUGUUGGACACAUGCGUGAUACCAAAACAAAAGGUUUAACCUUUUUGGUUGGAAUCCACUUUAACUGUUGUGAACAUGGAUUUGGGUUUGGGUAUGGGGAACACCACUAGAGAUAGAGCUUGACGGUGUAAAAACUUCCAUUAUAUUACCCCGACACUGAAGGAUUCGAAAGCGUUGGAAAGUCUACUGUUUAUGACGACUCUUUGAACAUUUAGACAUUUUGUUUGAUGAUGCUUUGGAUAUCUAAUCAACUGUUUUUGCUGAUUUUUUUUCAGAAUAUUUGCUCGAGCAACGGUGAUGACUUCAGUGCUGAUUAAUAAUCUGCCUGAAACUGUUGAAUAACAGUUCAUUGAACGAAAAAGUGUCGCUGGUGCAGAAGAUUAGGAUGAUACUUUGUAAUUCACUUUUUUGCAUCUGUUUUAGCAGCUUGCAUUUAAAUACCUAACUCUGUAUUU
Long non-coding RNA from Brassica napus (rape), 928 nucleotides. RefSeq lists it as uncharacterized. NCBI's taxonomy places the organism in Eukaryota, Viridiplantae, Streptophyta, Magnoliopsida, Brassicales, Brassicaceae. The record is from RefSeq and is a predicted model, not a curated record. The transcript is spliced from 4 exons.